AAGAAAUAAAACUGGUCGAUCUGAAUCGAUUCAGUAUGCUGAGGGUCUUACCAAGGUUGAUGGAAAAUCUGAUCACAUGGAUAAACAGUCAUAGAAGAAACAAAAGGGGUUCUGGACUAUAUAGGUGAUAUUCAAUUUGAACGACCUAAAGUCUGCAGGGGUGAAGCAAAAGUUGGAAUGGCUAAAGAAAUUAAAAUCAGGAGAAAAAGCUCCAUUUGUACAAUUAAAACCGGGUUACUCACUUCUCUUAACAUUUCUAGAAUCUUAACUGAGUACUUUAUCGUUCAGAGUGAAGUUCGUGUUGUUUCUGUUAUGUAGAUACUUAGUGAUGAGAUACUUUUGCUAUGUAAGAGAGGAAGCUAGCUGGCAGGUUAGGAUCUUAGUGGAGCAAGGAAGAGCUUACAUUCUUUUAUGAAGAGUAUGGGAAAGACUGGAAAAAGGCAUAAUUAUCUCUUCCACAAGGGAUGGCAUCAGUAGAUGGGUUAACAACAAGGAU
This is a long non-coding RNA of Papaver somniferum (opium poppy), 496 nucleotides long. RefSeq lists it as uncharacterized. The record is from RefSeq and is a predicted model, not a curated record. Lineage: Eukaryota; Viridiplantae; Streptophyta; Magnoliopsida; Ranunculales; Papaveraceae. The transcript is spliced from 4 exons.